AGUGAACGCUGGCGGUAGGCUUAACACAUGCAAGUCGAACGGCAGCACAGUAAGAGCUUGCUCUUAUGGGUGGCGAGUGGCGGACGGGUGAGGAAUACAUCGCACUCUACUUUUUCGUGGGGGUUAACGUCGGGAAACUUACGCUAAUACCGCAUACUACCUACGGGUGAAAGCAGGGGAUCUUCGUACCUUGCGCGUUUGAUUGCGCCGAGGCCGCAUUAGCUGGUUGGCGGGGUAAAGGCCCACCAAGGCGACGAUCCGUAGCUGGUCUGAGAGGAGGGUAGCCCGCACUGGAGCUGGGACGCGGACCAGGCUCCUACGAGAGGCAGCAGAGGGGAAUGUUGGGCAGUAGGCGGGAGCAUGGUCCAGCGAGACCGCGUGGGAGGAGGAGGCGUUCGGGUUGUGAAGACCGUUUGUGGGGAGAGAAAAGCAGCAGGUUGAGACGAAGCUGUUCUGACGGUACCCGAAGAAUAAGCACCGGCUAACUUCGUG
RNAcentral lists this ribosomal RNA (492 nucleotides) under uncultured bacterium. RNAcentral's name for it is "partial 16S ribosomal RNA". It matches the Rfam family "Bacterial small subunit ribosomal RNA", at positions 30 to 507 of the family's 1533-position model. The record is from RNAcentral.